GUGGUCGUAGCUCAAUGGUAGAGCAUCAGUUUGUGGUACUGACGGUUGCGGGUUCGAGUCCCGUCGAUCACC
This 72-nucleotide transfer RNA is filed under the name bacterium. RNAcentral describes it as "tRNA-His". It matches the Rfam family "tRNA". From Rfam's summary of the family: Transfer RNA (tRNA) molecules are approximately 80 nucleotides in length. Their secondary structure includes four short double-helical elements and three loops (D, anti-codon, and T loops). The record is from RNAcentral.